CCUACGGGAGGCAGCAGUGGGGAAUAUUGCACAAUGGGCGGAAGCCUGAUGCAGCGACGCCGCGUGAGGGACGAAGGCCUUCGGGUUGUAAACCUCUUUCAGCAGGGACGAAGCGUGAGUGACGGUACCUGCAGAAGAAGCACCGGCUAACUACGUGCCAGCAGCCGCGGUAAUACGUAGGGUGCGAGCGUUGUCCGGAAUUACUGGGCGUAAAGAGUUCGUAGGCGGUUUGUCGCGUCGUUUGUGAAAACCCGGGGCUCAACUUCGGGCUUGCAGGCGAUACGGGCAGACUUGAGUGUUUCAGGGGAGACUGGAAUUCCUGGUGUAGCGGUGAAAUGCGCAGAUAUCAGGAGGAACACCGGUGGCGAAGGCGGGUCUCUGGGAAACAACUGACGCUGAGGAACGAAAGCGUGGGUAGCAAACAGGAUUAGAUACCCUGGUAGUCCACGCCGUAAACGGUGGGCGCUAGGUGUGGGUUCCUUCCACGGGAUCUGUGCCGUAGCCAACGCAUUAAGCGCCCCGCCUGGGGAGUACGGCCGCAAGGCUAAAACUCAAAUGAAUUGACGG
RNAcentral lists this ribosomal RNA (567 nucleotides) under uncultured bacterium. Its description in RNAcentral is "bacterial SSU rRNA". It matches the Rfam family "Bacterial small subunit ribosomal RNA", at positions 338 to 916 of the family's 1533-position model. The record is from RNAcentral.